This 83-nucleotide transfer RNA is filed under the name Acidimicrobiales bacterium. RNAcentral's name for it is "tRNA-Ser". It matches the Rfam family "tRNA". From Rfam's summary of the family: Transfer RNA (tRNA) molecules are approximately 80 nucleotides in length. Their secondary structure includes four short double-helical elements and three loops (D, anti-codon, and T loops). Further hydrogen bonds mediate the characteristic L-shaped molecular structure. tRNAs have two regions of fundamental functional importance: the anti-codon, which is responsible for specific mRNA codon recognition, and the 3' end, to which the tRNAs corresponding amino acid is attached (by aminoacyl-tRNA synthetases). tRNAs cope with the degeneracy of the genetic code in two manners: having more than one tRNA (with a specific anti-codon) for a particular amino acid; and 'wobble' base-pairing, i.e. permitting non-standard base-pairing at the 3rd anti-codon position. Lineage: Bacteria; Bacillati; Actinomycetota; Acidimicrobiia; Acidimicrobiales. The record is from RNAcentral.
GGAGGGAUGGCAGAGCGGACGAAUGCGAGGCACUUGAAAUGCCUUGGGUCAAAGCCCCGUGGGUUCGAAUCCCACUCCCUCCG